Manis javanica (Malayan pangolin) is the source of this 811-nucleotide long non-coding RNA. RefSeq lists it as uncharacterized. The record is from RefSeq and is a predicted model, not a curated record. NCBI's taxonomy places the organism in Eukaryota, Metazoa, Chordata, Mammalia, Pholidota, Manidae.
UAUAACCCACUAGAAGAAGGAAAACCACAGUAAUACUUUAGAUUAAAGUUACUGAGGCACAACAUACCCAGUAAAAGGCUCAAAUCUUCAGUGUGCAGCGCAGUACAUUUUGCCUGUGACUGCACCCUUCAAACCGUCCCUCAGAUCCAGACGGAGAACAUCUCCACAUCCCCGAAACGACACUAGCGGUACUCUGACUUCCACUGCUCCAGAUGAUUUGCUUGUUCUUGAGCAUCGUGUGAAUGGAUCCACACAGCAUCUACUCUUUGUGUCUGGCUUCGCUCACCCAAUCCAUGCAUCUACCACAAGCCCUGGCCUAGAAAAGGCACCCAACGUUGGCACCUGGAAUGUGUGUCGGAUGAAUGUCUAGUAAUGGAAUGAGGAGUUGGAGGAAGAUACUGGAUACAUGCUUAUCAGAUGGGUGUGGAAAGUAAAGCCAGGAAGGCUGGCAGAGCCACAGAGCAUGGGGCUCCACCUCGUCUCCCUUAAACACGAAUAUGAUCCCUCCUGUCCAAGAGCGCAGCCCCGCCCUGCGGCUCCCCGCACCCUUGGCUACGGGACUUUCUCCAGCUCUCCCCUCUGCAUUGUCAAAACGGGAACAGACUGCGCAGAAGGAACGCGUUUGGUGCUGAGACCGGAGCCAGGGCAAUACGAGGCAGAUCCAGACAAUCUGCUCUGUUCCUCCCAAGGAGAGAGGAAAGGCUUUUAUUACUUGCUGACAAUUAAGUCAGCAAUGGGAAAAUCUCUGGGUGACCAAAGCUAAGCAAAGCAAGAGACGUACAUCAUGUACUGAUGCACCUUGAAAAAUAAA